Molecule: long non-coding RNA, 252 nt
Filed under: Phoenix dactylifera (date palm)
Lineage: Eukaryota; Viridiplantae; Streptophyta; Magnoliopsida; Arecales; Arecaceae
Description: long non-coding RNA (PDAC_LNC011792)
Source: RNAcentral
CCCACAUCCACUCCCCAAGACCUCUUGGAAAUUUCACUAUAAUCCCUCAGAUUACAGCCGGUUGUUUUACAAGCUCACAACCCAACUUGUUGUUUUGCGAGAUCACAACGAACUCGGUCGGUUUUCACAGGCUCACCGACUAGAACCAACCGAUUGUUUUCUCGGGUUCACAAUCAAAUCCAGUUGGUUUUCCCAAAGGCUCACCAACCACAACCUUACAACGAUUGUUUUCCGGGUUCACAAUCAACCCAG